RNAcentral lists this long non-coding RNA (476 nucleotides) under Apteryx owenii (little spotted kiwi). Its description in RNAcentral is "lncRNA (ENSAOWG00000018493.1)". Lineage: Eukaryota; Metazoa; Chordata; Aves; Apterygiformes; Apterygidae. The record is from RNAcentral.
GGGCCGAGAGGGUAAGGGUGGGCCGCGCCGGCGGGGGCCCGGGUGCCGCCGCGGCUCCGCGCUCCCGCGGCCUCACUGUCUGGUCUCUCUUUGCAGGCGGCAAGAAGAAGCCGCUGAAGCAGCCGAAGAAGCAGUCGAAGGACCUGGAUGAGGCAGAUCUGGCAUUUAAACAAAAGCAGAAGGAGGAGCAAAAGAAACUUGAGGAGAUGAAAGCAAAAGCUGCUGGAAAAGGGCCCCUCAAGAUUAAUUUUUUCAUGAGCAGAAGAUUCCUGGCAGAAGAAAACCUGCGACUUGUAACUUAGUCUGGCUUCAACUGUUUUGCCUGAGUGACUGUAAAAUGCACUCUGUCACAGAGUGUAUUGCGAAGCUCUGUUUCUGUGCAGCUCGGGCAUAUAGCUGUACGUCUGCGCUGCAUAGCGUUCACGCAGAGAAACUACUUCAGGAGGAGAUGUGAUGAAGUACACUUGUCCACAUCA